Paramuricea clavata is the source of this 150-nucleotide non-coding RNA. NCBI's taxonomy places the organism in Eukaryota, Metazoa, Cnidaria, Anthozoa, Malacalcyonacea, Plexauridae. The record is from the annotation of a GenBank genome assembly.
UAUCAGACUUGUAGCAAAGUUGUUCUAACAAGUCUGAUACAGUCAUGAUAUAACAAGAAUGUUACAAGGUUGAUGACACAAGGUUGUAACAAUAUUGCUAUAUCACGACUACAUCGGACAUGUUGGAACAACCUUGCAAUAAGUCUGAUA